UUAAGCGACUAAGCGUACACGGUGGAUGCCCUGGCAGUCAGAGGCGAUGAAGGACGUGCUAAUCUGCGAUAAGCGUCGGUAAGGUGAUAUGAACCGUUAUAACCGGCGAUUUCCGAAUGGGGAAACCCAGUGUGUUUCGACACACUAUCAUUAACUGAAUCCAUAGGUUAAUGAGGCGAACCGGGGGAACUGAAACAUCUAAGUACCCCGAGGAAAAGAAAUCAACCGAGAUUCCCCCAGUAGCGGCGAGCGAACGGGGAGGAGCCCAGAGCCUGAAUCAGUGUGUGUGUUAGUGGAAGCGUCUGGAAAGGCGCGCGAUACAGGGUGACAGCCCCGUACACAAAAAUGCACAUACUGUGAGCUCGAUGAGUAGGGCGGGACACGUGGUAUCCUGUCUGAAUAUGGGGGGACCAUCCUCCAAGGCUAAAUACUCCUGACUGACCGAUAGUGAACCAGUACCGUGAGGGAAAGGCGAAAAGAACCCCGGCGAGGGGAGUGAAAAAGAACCUGAAACCGUGUACGUACAAGCAGUGGGAGCACAGAGCAAUCUGUGUGACUGCGUACCUUUUGUAUAAUGGGUCAGCGACUUAUAUUCUGUAGCAAGGUUAACCGAAUAGGGGAGCCGAAGGGAAACCGAGUCUUAACUGGGCGUUAAGUUGCAGGGUAUAGACCCGAAACCCGGUGAUCUAGCCAUGGGCAGGUUGAAGGUUGGGUAACACUAACUGGAGGACCGAACCGACUAAUGUUGAAAAAUUAGCGGAUGACUUGUGGCUGGGGGUGAAUGGCCAAUCAAACCGGGAGAUAGC
Molecule: ribosomal RNA, 806 nt
Filed under: Escherichia coli DEC5A
Lineage: Bacteria; Pseudomonadati; Pseudomonadota; Gammaproteobacteria; Enterobacterales; Enterobacteriaceae
Description: bacterial LSU rRNA
Rfam family: Bacterial large subunit ribosomal RNA
Source: RNAcentral